GUACUAGUCUUCUAGCACAUGUACUAAAACUGGAAUGAUACAGAGAAGAUUAGCAUGGCCCCUGGUGCAAGGAUGACACGCAAACUCGUGAAGCAUUCCUAUUUUUC
Molecule: small nuclear RNA, 107 nt
Filed under: Oryzias latipes (Japanese medaka)
Lineage: Eukaryota; Metazoa; Chordata; Actinopteri; Beloniformes; Adrianichthyidae
Source: RNAcentral